UCUUCUCUUGUCCGUUUAUCAAAAACAUGUCUAUUUGUAGAUAUAAAAAGUCUGGCCUGCCCACUGAUUUAACGUUUUAAGGGCCGCGGUAUUAUGACCGUGCAAAGGUAGCAUAAUCAUUAGAUUUUUAAAUGGAAUCUCGUAUGAAUGGUUGAACAAAAGAAAAACUAUCUUUAUAUUAAAAUUUGAAUUUAACUUUUAAGUGAAAAGGCUUAAAUAUUUUAGAGGGACGAUAAGACCCUAUAAAGCUUUACAUGUAAAUUAUAUUUAGUUGAAUUUGUAAUAUAAGAGUUUUAUGUAGUUAGUAUGUUGUGUUGGGGAGAUAAAAGUAUAAUUUAUAAUAACUGCUUAAUAAAUAAACAAUUAUAAGUGUAAUUUAUAAUAAUAGAUCCUAUAUUUAGAUUAAAAGAACAAGUUACUUUAGGGAAGGGGGGGGAGAGAAGU
RNAcentral lists this ribosomal RNA (444 nucleotides) under Parathelphusa palawanensis. RNAcentral describes it as "partial large subunit ribosomal RNA". The stretch from base 1 to 216 matches the Rfam family "Archaeal large subunit ribosomal RNA", at positions 1875 to 2143 of the family's 2987-position model. The record is from RNAcentral. Lineage: Eukaryota; Metazoa; Arthropoda; Malacostraca; Decapoda; Gecarcinucidae.